Molecule: small nuclear RNA, 111 nt
Organism: Daktulosphaira vitifoliae (grape phylloxera)
Lineage: Eukaryota; Metazoa; Arthropoda; Insecta; Hemiptera; Phylloxeridae
Source: RefSeq, a predicted model, not a curated record
GUACUUGCUUCGACAGUAGAUAUAUUAAAAUUGGAACUAUACAAAGAAGAUUAGCAUAGCUUAUGUGCAAAGAUAACACGUAAAAUUAUGAACUGUAUGUUUACAACUUUU